GACGAACGCUGGCGGCGUGCUUAACACAUGCAAGUCGAACGGAAAGGCCCUGCUUUUGUGGGGUGCUCGAGUGGCGAACGGGUGAGUAACACGUGAGUAACCUGCCCUUGACUUUGGGAUAACUUCAGGAAACUGGGGCUACUACCGGAUAGGAGCUCCUGCUGCAUGGUGGGGGUUGGAAAGUUUCGGCGGUUGGGGAUGGACUCGCGGCUUAUCAGCUUGUUGGUGGGGUAGUGGCUUACCAAGGCUUUGACGGGUAGCCGGCCUGAGAGGGUGACCGGCCACAUUAGGACUGAGAGACGGCCCAGACUCCUACGGGAGGCAGCAGUGGGGAAUAUUGCACAAUGGGCGGAAGCCUGAUGCAGCAACGCCGCGUGCGGGAUGACGGCCUUCGGGUUGUAAACCGCUUUCGCCUGUGACGAAGCGUGAGUGACGGUAAUGGGUAAAGAAGCACCGGCUAACUACGUG
This 468-nucleotide ribosomal RNA is filed under the name uncultured bacterium. RNAcentral's name for it is "partial 16S ribosomal RNA". It matches the Rfam family "Bacterial small subunit ribosomal RNA", at positions 28 to 507 of the family's 1533-position model. The record is from RNAcentral.